RNAcentral lists this transfer RNA (77 nucleotides) under Deltaproteobacteria bacterium. RNAcentral describes it as "tRNA-Arg". It matches the Rfam family "tRNA". Rfam says of the family: Transfer RNA (tRNA) molecules are approximately 80 nucleotides in length. Their secondary structure includes four short double-helical elements and three loops (D, anti-codon, and T loops). Lineage: Bacteria; Pseudomonadati; Myxococcota; Myxococcia. The record is from RNAcentral.
GCGCCCGUAGCUCAGCUGGAUAGAGUACCGGGCUUCGAACCCGUUGGUCGCAGGUUCGAAUCCUGCCGGGCGCGCCA